UGAGGUGGGGCUCAGUGGGAGAGCACUGGCCUAGCAUGCAUGAGGCCCUGGGUUCCAACCCCAGCACCACCA
This 72-nucleotide transfer RNA is filed under the name Ictidomys tridecemlineatus (thirteen-lined ground squirrel). RNAcentral describes it as "Spermophilus tridecemlineatus (thirteen-lined ground squirrel) tRNA". It matches the Rfam family "tRNA". From Rfam's summary of the family: Transfer RNA (tRNA) molecules are approximately 80 nucleotides in length. Lineage: Eukaryota; Metazoa; Chordata; Mammalia; Rodentia; Sciuridae. The record is from Rfam by way of RNAcentral.